GACGAACGCUGGCGGCGUGCUUAACACAUGCAAGUCGAACGGAAAGGCCCUGCUUUUGUGGGGUGCUCGAGUGGCGAACGGGUGAGUAACACGUGAGUAACCUGCCCUUGACUUUGGGAUAACUUCAGGAAACUGGGGCUAAUACCGGAUAGGAGCUCCUGCUGCAUGGUGGGGGUUGGAAAGUUUCGGCGGUUGGGGCUGGACUCGCGGCUUAUCAGCUUGUUGGUGGGGUAGGGGCUUACCAAGGCUUUGACGGGUAGCCGGCCUGAGAGGGUGACCGGGCACAUUGGGACUGAGAUACGGCGCAGACUGCUACGGGAGGCAGAAGUGGGGAACAUUGCACAAUGGGCGGAAGCCUGAUGCAGCAACGCCGCGUGCGGGAUGCCGGCCUUCGGGUUGUAAACCGAUUUCGCCGGUGCUGAAGCGUGAGUGACGGUAAUGGGUAAAGAAGCACCGGCUAACUACGUG
RNAcentral lists this ribosomal RNA (468 nucleotides) under uncultured bacterium. RNAcentral describes it as "partial 16S ribosomal RNA". It matches the Rfam family "Bacterial small subunit ribosomal RNA", at positions 28 to 507 of the family's 1533-position model. The record is from RNAcentral.